Molecule: long non-coding RNA, 2203 nt
Filed under: Gopherus agassizii (Agassiz's desert tortoise)
Lineage: Eukaryota; Metazoa; Chordata; Testudines; Testudinidae
Description: lncRNA (ENSGAGG00000014589.1)
Source: RNAcentral
AUUAUCUUUUCUAGAUUAUAUAAAUGUAUCAGAAGAUGACCAGAAAUUAAGAGAGACAGUGAAAGUGUACGUAUGUAUAGAAAUGAGGGAUGGGCUGGUCCAGUUCCCUGAUGAGAUACAGGCUUUUUUAGAGGACUUGAACAUCCACUGUCUUCUGAUGGAGCUUUGGAUACUAAAUGCUUCUUAAAAUUGGGCCGAUAAUGCUUUACUUGAACCAGAAUGGAGUCUUCAGUCCAAUGUUAGAUCUUUCCACAAGCCUGGAAUGCUUCAAAGGCUCCACAGUGCCCUUGUGGCUAAGACAAAUGAAUUAUGAGCUACAAAGUCCAGUCUCAUCCUGCUCUGCUUAGAAGGAUUGUGGAUUCCACGAUAUGAAGACUAAAGGGAGGGUGAAACAGAAGGCUUUUCAGGGCUCUAAGUGCCAGAGAAUAUCUCCACCCAAAGAGAAAUGAGAAUGGAUAUUUGUAGAUAUAAGGCCAGAAGGGACCACUGUGGUCCUCUAACGUGACAUCCUGCAUAACACAGACCAUAAAACUUUCCUAAAUUAAUUAUUAUUUGAACUAGUGCAUAUCUUUUAGAAAAACAUCCAAUCUUGGUUUUAAAAUGGUCAGUGAUAGAGAAUCUACUACAACCCUUGGUUAAAAUGUAGUCCAUUACUGACUGCCACAUUUUGUUGCCAUCUUUUCAGUUAUCCUUUGAUAUCCUGUACAAUUGUAAUAGUAAAAUAAUAAUCAUUUUUCCUAUUGCAGAAUUGCAGGAAAAGAAGUAACUGCAAAGGCCAUUUACUUUCUUACCUUUGGACUCUACUUGGUUAAAAGCUUUACCCAGCAACGAUUAGAUAUAGUAGGAGUGACCUACAACAGCAAGACUAGAAGACUGAUCCUCGUGGAUGGCAAAGGGUUGUUCAGCUUGGAUUUAUUUGCUUCUAAGACUGUAGUUAAAAGGGAAAUGGAUUUUCACAAGUACCAAUUCAACAUAAUGAGAAGCAUCACUUACUGUGAAAAAUUCAAUGUUUACUUUGUACUGAGAAGAGACUAUGCACUUAAGGUGUAUAAUAAGGAUUAUGAAGAGAUCUGCUCAGUAGAGAACGUGGAGUCAUGUCUGUUGACACUUAUGGUAUUCAAUCCUGUGAGCGAUGAACUCAUUACAGGAGGACUCAAAGGCAUAAAGUUCUGGAAGUUUAAAGAAACAGAGAGUACAGAUUACUCUGAUGCAGUUCACAUGUCCAAUUACAAGCUAUUCCCCAGUGCAGAAUUCCCACACAUGAGGCAAAUCUGGUGUACAAAUAUGGAGUUUGAUGUCAAUAUGCAAAGACUUUAUUGCUUUUCUAAUUGCGAUCUCUUCUGCUAUGAUACCAAAGGGAAUAUACUGUUUCAGCUAACCAAUGCCCACCGAAGUACCAUUCUCUCCUGCGUCUAUUCAUCAUACUCCAAUGCUUUGCUUACCUCCUCCAGGGACUCUGAAAUAAAAUCUUGGAAUGACCAGGGCUGUUUGUUGCAUGUGUUUCAUGGCCAUACGAGGUCUGUCACACACCUCCUCCUCCAUCCAAACACUUUGUCUUUAUUUAUCUCUGGAUCUUUGGAUGGGACAGUGAAACUCUGGUCCCUGGAUACAAUGGAGCUGUUUUACAGUUUAUCGUUGUUCACUGAAGGAAUUGUUUGGAUGGGCCUGACUGAGGAUAAGUUGCUGUACUGCUCUUCUGCCCGCAAUCUUCAUGUGUAUGACUUGAACUGUUUUACCAAAUUCUGGACUCAUGUCAGCAGUCAGAUUAAAGCUCUGUCCCUCUGUGGUGCCAAUGGGAAAUCCAGCAGGGUGGUAGCUAUGGGUUCUGAUAACAGUUUACGAAUUUUCUCUCUGCAUAAUGGGACAAAGUUAUGUACCGUGCUGCCGCCUCCCUAUCCUUCUCCGCUCCAGUCAGUUCUCAGCUUUGCCUAUAAUCGAACCAAUGGAACAAUUUACUUCCUCCUGACUUCUUGGGAUAUAUGGGUCUACACAGCGAGGUACUACAUCCAUUUUGCUAAGCAUUUACUGCUUUCUAGCCUGUCUUUAUUGCCUACUUUUCUCACUCUGUUGUAUUUGGAUUUUUUGUUUGUUUUUCUUUUCAUUACAAUAGAUGGGUAGGAUGUUUUGGUAUUAGAUGAAGACAGAGUGUAUUCUUGAAAAUGUUCAAAGUGUUCUACAAAUCUUGAUAUUAAUGAAUAUUGGG